AUCUAACAGAAGGCUUAGAAUUGGGCUGGCACAAUCCUUCAUUUACAUGAAAAGUUGUCCUACUGAUUGGUGUAAACAAACACCCCCACCCAUACCCAACAGAAGGCCUAUGAUUGGUGCCGGCACAGUCCUUCAUUUGCAUGAAGAGCUGUGCUUACUGAUUGGUGCACACACCGACUGCCACCUCACCUCCUAUGGUGGUUAAUGUUGGUUAUCAGUUCUACCAGAGUCUAGAAUCAUCUGGGAGAAGGGCCUCUGGGUAUGCCUGCCUAUAGGGGAUUAUUUUAAAUUAAUUGAGGUGGUGGGAAGAUCAACCUAUUAUAGAAGGGGAAUCCUGGACUGUGAGAUAGAGCAACUGAGCUGAGACCAUCCUCAUCCCUUCUGCGUCAUGACUGCAGAUGCAGUGAGAACUCCCUCAGGCUGCAGCUCUUGUGACUUCCCUGGUAUGUUUGACCGUAGCUUGGAGUUGGGAGCCAGAACUUCUUAUCUUAAGUUGAUUAUGUCACCGCGUCAUCAUCACAGGACAUAAAAGUAACCAAGACAUCUUCCUUUCUGACUGUACAAACAUGUUGUUGGGUUUCUGUUCUGAAUCAGCCAGAAGACACCCUCUCAGACUGUCCCCUAGUGUCACACAACAUCAAGCCCAGUCAAGAGGCUUCUCUCCAGUGACAGCCUUGUCUUCAUUGGCGUGGUUGAACAAACAGAUAACAGGAAGAGGGGACAUCAGAAGCAGCCUGCAUCAGAGAGUGGACGUGGGUGAUGAGUCCUCCGGAAAUCAGAAGUCCAUGUGUGUCUUCCCACUUGACUGCCACUUGCUCCGAGGAAGUUGACAGGUACCAGGAGCUGAGAACCAUAACUGAGCAGGUGGGAAACACCUCUGGCCUGUCACCCGGCAGUGUCGGUCAUUUGAAACACUUCGGCUUAACUGUAAUGACAGGUGGGUCUUAUUUUAGUGUAGAAGAAGGUGGGGGGUUGGGGACAGCUUCUCCAAGACAUUGGUGCCUGAGCAGAAUUUGAAG
This 1019-nucleotide long non-coding RNA is filed under the name Rattus norvegicus (Norway rat). RNAcentral describes it as "long non-coding RNA NONRATT032455". The record is from RNAcentral. Lineage: Eukaryota; Metazoa; Chordata; Mammalia; Rodentia; Muridae.